This 518-nucleotide long non-coding RNA is filed under the name Homo sapiens (human). RNAcentral describes it as "HSALNT0352175". Lineage: Eukaryota; Metazoa; Chordata; Mammalia; Primates; Hominidae. The record is from RNAcentral.
UUCUGAAGAUUAGAGGGGUUCUUUCAUGGGAAGCUCUAGAGCAGUGCUUGAGACAUGACUCCAUCCCAGACACAGCAUACCAGAGUCUCCAAAGGGCUAAGCUCAGCAAUCUAUUCUCAAGCUCCCAACAGGAGUCAUAUAGUCAGGCAGGCAAUGAUCAUAUAUGGGGACCAUUAGAAAUAAUCUAAUGCAUACCCUCUGAACUUCAAAUUUUUAGUAUUCUCAUUUUCUGCUCAAGCUCAAUUUCAACACAGUUCACAGUUUCUCAUAUCCACCAUGGCAUUCUGCCAAGGAACUACAACUCGUGUUCUCUAAACCCAUCUGUUCUAAGAAUGCUGGGCUGGUUAUCAAUUUCUAAUGUACCUGCUUAAACUUUCCUCUCUCAAUAUGUCCCUGACUGAACUGCAGAAGACAGAACAACUGUACUAGCCAUCUCUUUCUGCAUAUCCCAUGUCCCCACAGAGGCCACUGUGUCUUCAUAAAGCUAACUUCCACGAUUUUCACAAGUGAUAUUUUUC